CGUCCUUUUACGUCGGGAGCGCCGGACGGAUUGUCCAUUACUACGAGCAAUGUCGCCGUUUUGUAGAGGUAUAUCGGAAUGUUUACGUGCAAAUGCCAAGUUGCGUGAGAAAAUUCCAAAGCUUCUGCCACAAUCGUUAAUGGAAAAAUACAUACUCAAAACUUGAGUCAUAUCAGUGGCUUGGGUAUCGAUAAACAACAGUGAAGCUGUAGAUGUCACUGGACGGCUGUUUGGUUUUGAGGCAAUAGUGAGCAUUACAAUAUGCCCAGAGGCCAACUUGCUGGGAAGUGCCUAAAGUGGAUCAAUUUCUGGCUAGUACCGUAAUUGUUUUCCUGUUGCAUGAAAAGCUGAUGAGAACAACCAAGAAAACAACACUGAAAGUUGGGAUUGAGUUGAUUUUUCUUUCUCUUGGUAUUGGAGAUUAGUUAUAUAUAUACUAGGCAAAUAGUUCUGGGUUUCUUCAAAUGGGGAGUUACCUAUUUGGAUUGAAGAGUUACAAUUAAAACAGUUUCUACCAAA
Molecule: long non-coding RNA, 519 nt
Organism: Chinchilla lanigera (long-tailed chinchilla)
Lineage: Eukaryota; Metazoa; Chordata; Mammalia; Rodentia; Chinchillidae
Exons: 6
Source: RefSeq, a predicted model, not a curated record